Molecule: ribosomal RNA, 469 nt
Filed under: Lestomerus sanctus
Lineage: Eukaryota; Metazoa; Arthropoda; Insecta; Hemiptera; Reduviidae
Description: SSU rRNA
Rfam family: Eukaryotic small subunit ribosomal RNA
Source: RNAcentral
CCUGUCGGUGUAACUGGCAUGUCGCGGCAUGUCCUGUCGGUGGUGAACGGGAUCCCCGGUACUGUCUAGACUUAAUUGUCGAAACAUGUAUCGUGUGUGUUUCCGUUUGCCGAUCUCUCCUACUCCGGUGCUCUUAAACGAGUGUCGAGGUAGGCCGACACGUUCACUUUGAACAAAUUAGAGUGCUUAAAGCAGGCUGAAAUAUCUGCCUGAAUAGUGGUGCAUGGAAUGAUAAAACAGGACCUCGGUUCUAUUUUGUUGGUUUUAGGAAUAUGAGGUAAUGAUCAAUGUGGACUGGCGGGGGCAUUCGUAUUGCGACGUUAGAGGUGAAAUUCUUGGAUCGUCGCAAGACGCACUAGAGCGAAAGCAUUUGCCAAGUAUGUCUUAAUUGAUCAAGAACGAAAGUUAGAGGUUCGAAGGCGAUCAGAUACCGCCCUAGUUCUAACCAUAAACGAUGCCAGCCAGCGAU